This 266-nucleotide ribosomal RNA is filed under the name uncultured bacterium. RNAcentral's name for it is "partial 16S ribosomal RNA". It matches the Rfam family "Bacterial small subunit ribosomal RNA", at positions 29 to 311 of the family's 1533-position model. The record is from RNAcentral.
AACGAACGCUGGCGGCAUGCCUAACACAUGCAAGUCGAACGGGAUCCUGGUUUCGGCCAGGUGAGAGUGGCGGACGGGUGAGUAACGCGUGGGAACCUGCCCAGUGGUGGGGAUAACUGCGGGAAACUGCAGCUAAUACCGCAUGAGCCCGCGAAAGGGGAAAGAUUGAUCGCCAUUGGAGGGGCCCGCGUUCGAUUAGGUAGUUGGUGAGGUAACGGCUCACCAAGCCUUCGAUCGAUAGCUGGUCUGAGAGGAUGAUCAGCCAC